UUUAAAUGUUAAGAAUUUAAUUAUAAAUUAUUAUAAAUCUAUUUAAUGCACUGUUAAAAUGAUAUAAUGUUAUAAAUAUUAUCAAUAUUUGUCAAGUAUAAAUAUUGGAUCACCCCAUAAGUAAUGCCGUUGUAACGUACGGUAUUUGGUAGCGAGCACGUCACACAAUUGAAUGAGAAGCGUCCAAGCUUUAUCUUUAUUUUUAAUGUGGAUCCGACCUUUAUUGGUGUAAAGAGGGGAUAGUGUCAAAGAAAGAGAGAAAUGUAUUGAAUCUGAUGAAUAAUAAUACGCUUAUUUAUGAUACUAAAAGAAAGAAAGGAGAAAUAUAAUAGUUGAUACUCACAACUCAUUCUAGAUGCCUGUUUGUUCUUCGUUACUGUGCUAUAUACUCACACUCGUUUGAGUGUUUCUGCUCUCAGUCUCGUAGUACCGUUGUCCCAGCCUUACAACAAGUUAUGUUACAAAAGAUUGUCAUUGUUUCAAUCUGCGAAGUAGAUUUACGCACUUGGGCAACGCUGGACAUCUACCGGACAAAGCUGUACACUAUCCCACAGAUUUAAGCCUAUCGCCUUUUUACGGAUAUCUGCCGUACACGUGCCAGACUUACUCAAAACGUGUACAAAUCGGGGCAAGAGACUUGUGAAUUCGCGGUACCGACUAUUCAUCUCAAGUUCUACUUUUUAAAAUUGGGGUUCCUCUGCAAAAACGUUAUAGCGCUCGUGGUCGCUGAGUCUGCUCAUUCUUGGACGGUGCGGCGCUCCGAGUUGGAACGAUAUAUGAUCAUCGCAUCCCGUCUGUCCACCACGUCACUCGAAGCACACGUGCAAGAAUGCGCUUACUCCCAUUUAUAGGAACCUCUGAAAUCGUAAAGGUGUGGCUGCAAUUAUUAUCAUUCCAUACUAAGUCGGAGGGUGUCAUCAAAAUAUAUAGACGGGAUGUAACAUCAUUUUUAUGAGAGAUAAAUUUAAAAUAAUGGAUGUUACUAUCAAAGUUUUACAAAAAUUGGAAAGAAUAUUUAAUAAAUAAAGCAUAAGAAAACCGACAACUGUAUCAUUACUUAUGGGAUAUCCUAAUACAUAAUAAAAUACUGUUCGUUCGAGUAAAAGUGGAGCUAUUAGAAAUCGUUAGAACCAGAAAAUGACACAGACGGACCUACAAGAAACUUUUAGCUGACGACCGACUUAAUACGAGACCUGUAGGAUUUCAAUCAACUAGAUCAAUGAGGGGUAGUAGAAGGAAGCGUUUAGA
This is a long non-coding RNA of Bombus pascuorum, 1248 nucleotides long. RefSeq lists it as uncharacterized. The record is from RefSeq and is a predicted model, not a curated record. Lineage: Eukaryota; Metazoa; Arthropoda; Insecta; Hymenoptera; Apidae. The transcript has 2 exons.